UCUAUUAUGGCAGAUAAGUGUAAUGGAUUUAAGCUCCAUAUAUAAAGUUAAAUAACUUUUUUUAGAA
Molecule: transfer RNA, 67 nt
Filed under: Balta vilis
Lineage: Eukaryota; Metazoa; Arthropoda; Insecta; Blattodea; Pseudophyllodromiidae
Description: tRNA-Leu
Source: RNAcentral